GUGACAAGAAAUAACAAUACAGAACCUCACGGUUUUGUAAUUGGAAUGAGUUAAGUAUAAACCCCUUAACGAGUAUCAAUUGGAGGGCAAGUCUGGUGCCAGCAGCCGCGGUUAUUCCAGCUCCAAUAGCGUAUAUUAAAGUUGUUGCAGUUAAAAAGCUCGUAGUUGAUUUUCUGUUAAUUUUUAUGUAUAAUAUUGCGAUAUUUACAUAAUAUUAACAUAAUUCACAUUACUUUACAGUAUGUGGAAA
This 250-nucleotide ribosomal RNA is filed under the name Cryptosporidium scrofarum. Its description in RNAcentral is "partial small subunit ribosomal RNA". It matches the Rfam family "Eukaryotic small subunit ribosomal RNA", at positions 467 to 718 of the family's 1831-position model. The record is from RNAcentral. Lineage: Eukaryota; Apicomplexa; Conoidasida; Eucoccidiorida; Cryptosporidiidae.